Molecule: ribosomal RNA, 253 nt
Filed under: uncultured bacterium
Lineage: Bacteria
Description: partial 16S ribosomal RNA
Rfam family: Bacterial small subunit ribosomal RNA
Source: RNAcentral
UACAGAGGGUGCAAGCGUUAAUCGGAUUUACUGGGCGUAAAGGGUGCGUAGGUGGUUGCAUAAGUCGGAUGUGAAAGCCCGGGGCUCAACCUCGGAAUUGCAUUCGAUACUGUGCGACUAGAGUUCGGUAGAGGGCGGCGGAAUUUCCGGUGUAGCGGUGAAAUGCGUAGAUAUCGGAAGGAACAUCAAUGGCGAAGGCAGCCGCCUGGGCCUGAACUGACACUGAGGCACGAAAGCGUGGGUAGCAAACAGG